CUUUAUUCUAGUCUCCUCCAUCAGGCUCCUUCUCUCCUUUAUUCUAGUCUCCUCCAUCAGGCUCCUCCUCUCCUCUCUUCUAGUCUCCUCCAUCAGUCUCCUCCUCUACUCUCUUCUAGUUUCAUCCAUCAGGCUCCUCCUCUCCUUUAUUCUAGUCUCCUCCAUCAAUCUCCUCCUCUCCUCUCUUCUAGUCUCCUCCAUCAGGCUCCUCCUCUCCUUUAUUCUAGUCUCCUCCAUCAGUCUCCUCCUCUCCUUUAUUCUAGUCUCCUCCAUCAGGCUCCUCCUCUCCUUUAUUCUUGUCUCCUCCAUCAGUCUCUUCCUCUCCUUUAUUCUAGUCUCCUACAUCAGUCUCCUCCUCUCCUCUCUUCUAGUCUCUUCCAUCAUGCUCCUCCUCUCCUGUCUUCUAGUCACCUUCAUCAGUUUCCUCCUCUCCUCUAUUCUAGUCUCCUCCAUAAGUCUCCUCUCCUGUCUUCUCUCUCUCCUCCUUCUCCUGUCUCCUCUCCAGUCACAUACAUAGCCAUGAAAUUCUUUGAAAGGCUGGUACCAUUCGCGUACCGCCACAACAGAUCCACAGAUUAUGCCAUCGCUAUUGCACGCCCCUAUGCCCUCUUCCACCUGAACAAAAGGAAGACCUACGUGAGAAUGCUAUUCAUUGACUACAGCUCAGCUUUCAACACCAUAAUGCCCUCCAAGCUCAUCACUAAGCUAAGGACCCUGGGACUGAACACCUUCCUCUACAACUGGAUUAUUUACUUCUUGAUGCCCCCAAGUGGUGAAGGUAGGCAACAACUCAUCUGCCACGCUGACCCUCAACAUGGGGGCUCCUCAGGGGUGCUUGCCCUCUCUCACUCUCUCACUCGCUACCCCACCUGCAGUCUCGACCUCUGAAUGCUCGGUUAUGAAUGCCAACGUACAUUUCCUCCUGAGGUGCUGACCUGUUUCUCCCUCUAUAACCACUGUGAUUAUUAUUUGACCCUGCUGGUCGUCUAUGAACAUUUGAACAUCUUGAAGAACGAUCUAGCCUUAAUGGCCAUGUACUCUUAUAUUCUCCACCCGGCACAGCAAGAAGAGGUCUGAACACUACUCAGACCCUGGUUCCUCUCCAGGUUUCUUCCUAGGUUCUGGCCUUUCUAGGCAGUUUUUCCUAGCCACCGUGCUUCUACACCUGCAUUACUUGCUGUUUGGGGUUUUAGGCUGGGUUUCUGUACAGCACUUUGAGAUAUCAGCUGAGUACCCAUGACCGUGUGUCCACACUCCAACACCAUCAUUACGUUUUCUGACGACAUGACAGUGGUAGGCCUGAUCACAGGCGACAAUGAGAUAGGAGGGGAGAGAGUAGAGAGGG
This is a long non-coding RNA of Oncorhynchus tshawytscha (Chinook salmon), 1345 nucleotides long. The record is from Ensembl. Lineage: Eukaryota; Metazoa; Chordata; Actinopteri; Salmoniformes; Salmonidae.